This is an RNA transcript of Cebus imitator (Panamanian white-faced capuchin), 1453 nucleotides long. It is a transcript of the gene named ER membrane protein complex subunit 3-like, with no coding region annotated. The transcript has 4 exons. The record is from RefSeq and is a predicted model, not a curated record. NCBI's taxonomy places the organism in Eukaryota, Metazoa, Chordata, Mammalia, Primates, Cebidae.
AUGUGGGCUUUCAGCACCAGAAACAAGAAACAAGAUAUAGGAAAGAGAUCUUGUCUCAAUUGUGCCGUUUGUACAAUGGAAUCAAACAGUAAGUACCCUGCAAAGUGCUGGGAGCCAGCUUUCAGUGAAGUAGAAGGGCCGGAACUGUUGCUGGACUCCAACAUCCGCCUCUAGGUGGUCCUACCCAUCGUAAUUAUCGCUUUCUUCAUAGGCAUGAUCCACCACUAUGUGUCAUCCUGCUGCAGAGUGAUAAGAAGCUCACCUAGGAACGAGUGUCUGAGAGUCAAGUCCUAAUUCAAAGCAGAGUCCUCAGGGAAAAUGGAAAAUACAUUCCCAAACAGUCUUUCUUGACACAAAAAUAUUACUUCAACAACCCAGAAGAUGGAUUUUUCCAAAAAAAAAAAACUAAAAGGAAGGUAGUGCCACCUUCUCUUGUGACUGAUCCUACUAUGCUGACAGGCAUGAUGAAAGGGAAUGUAACAACAAAUGUUCUUCCUAUGAUUCUUAUUGGUGGAUGGAUCAACAUGACAUUCUCAGGCUUUGUCACAAGCAAGGUCCCAUUUCCCCUGACCCUCUGUUUUCAGCCUGUGUUACAGCAAGGAAUCGAAUUCCUUGCAUUACAUGCAUCCUCAGUGAGUUCUGCACCCAGGUACUUCCUCAAUGGAUUUGGGCUUCCGAGCAUUUACUCUCUGAUUCUAGGCCAAGAUAAUGCCACUGACCAAUCACGAAUGAUGCAGGAGCAGCCAUGGCCAUGCCCGCAGACACCAACAAAGCUUUCAAGACAGAGUGGGAAGCUUUGGAGCUGAUGGAUCACCAGUGGGCACUAGAUGAUGUCAAAGAAGAGCUCAUGGCAAAAGACCUUCACUUCGAAGGCAUGUUCAAAGAGGUAUUACAGACCUCUAUUUCUUAUAAUAUUCUUACAAUUUUUCAAUAUUUAUUCAUUUAUUCAGCAUUUAUUUCAUUUGAAAAUGAAAAGUCUCCCAGGUUUGGGAGCAGAGAGGCUGAAGAAAAGAUUUUGGUAACAAGAAAACCUGGAGUUGAGCAGCACCUACAGAUCAGUGAGCAGCUCCAGCAUGAUUGUACAGAAGAACUAACAGGCACUGGAGUCAAGCCUAGAGAACAGGCACAGAUUUCUCGUGUGCUGUGUAGAAUUAUGAAAAAUGUAUCCAUGAGCCUGUCUCUAAUGGAACGGGGAAUUCAGCCUUGGUGCCCAGAAGCUGUGAGCCUCUCCGGUCCGCUGCCUCCUCGGCCGCGGCUCCUUUUUCUGUGUGGCAUUCUCUACGUCCACAAUGACACUGAAAUUGUGUCUGGGGCAAAAGCAGCUGUAAGCCCACUGAGCAUCAUUAGCCAGAGGACAGGACAGGGGAGUUAUGUGCUACCUGGCCUUUCAGGGUCUCCUUACUGCAAGUCGGCACCUGUCUCUUCAGACCCCAAAAACUUCUCCCUCCUCUGA